Halichondria panicea is the source of this 937-nucleotide long non-coding RNA. RefSeq lists it as uncharacterized. The record is from RefSeq and is a predicted model, not a curated record. The transcript is spliced from 2 exons. NCBI's taxonomy places the organism in Eukaryota, Metazoa, Porifera, Demospongiae, Suberitida, Halichondriidae.
UCUAGCCUCGAUCCCAGGCCGAGUUUUCGCUUUUAUAACGGUUAGGCGAACAACUGGGCCUGGUACUAGUUGUCUGCGCAUGCGUCAGUCGUUUGUCAGAUUCUGACGAAUGGAUAUUCUCGUUCACUUUUGUGACAUUUAUAUUUGUGUACUAUCGUGUACUAGAAGUCAGUUCCCGUUUUAUCAUUAUUGGAAUCGAUUGGAAUGGCUCUUAGCUGAAGCUUCUCUCUUCUGAAGCUUAUUCUGAAGACUGAACAACAAGGGAAGAGGUAUAAAGCUUUGUCAAGCUUGUUAAGGUCAGAUAUUUUUGUGUGGGCCCUAUGGCCGGCUAUGCUAUCAAGUCUUGUUCAUGUUUGGCAAGAAUGUAGGUAGACUAUAGUUUCAUCAUUAAUAUGGUGGAUCAAGUGAAGAGUUUGAGCUAGAGAACUUGGUGCUGCCAUCAUCAGCUCGUCGACAAUGACACUAUAACCGAGAAAUUUAAUAUGUAUAGAUCUACACAUAUUUAAAAUGUCUACUUCUCUGUACAGGAGCAAUGGCUAAUAUCCAGCUAUCCCAACAGUGCUCCUCUUGGCUAUACUAACGGACGAGACUGGACAGUUUGAGACACAGGACUGGAGUAUGACCUGCUCAUUCGAGCGUUGCUGGGUAGCUCAGAGACAUCAAGAGAAUCUACGUUUUCUCAAGCAAUGAGUUACGAGUUGGGGCCUAGAAUCAGAGAAGUCCAGCAGCCUGCUAAAUCUUUUUGAAACGUAAUUUGAAGGCAUUCAAUCAUCUUGAAGUUGCCCUGGGUCACUGUAAUUGUGCUGCAGCACAACUGGCAACUCCCCAGGCCUUUGUGAAGCAGCUCCCUAUGUGCAUCUUUUGUGUACUCACUCUGUGCAUUUUCUGUGUACAAAUUUCGAUUAUUGAUUUAUUAAAUAUUUUUGCCGACCACAAA